Alligator sinensis (Chinese alligator) is the source of this 170-nucleotide small nucleolar RNA. RefSeq annotates it as small nucleolar RNA SNORA9. The record is from RefSeq and is a predicted model, not a curated record. The transcript has a single exon. NCBI's taxonomy places the organism in Eukaryota, Metazoa, Chordata, Crocodylia, Alligatoridae.
GAGCAAGCCUCCCAGCGUGGCCGGGUCUGGCGUGACCCCGCUCGUUCCUGCAGCGCUUGCGAAAGCAACCUUGAGACGGUUUGAGGCCUUGCUCCGCGCCGCUCGCUCGCUCGCUCGCUCGCUCGCUCGCUCGCUGGUUUGGAGCAAGGUUAUAGACAUUUCAGACAUGC